UACGUAGGGACCAAGCGUUGUUCGGAUUUACUGGGCGUAAAGCGCACGUAGGCGGCUUUGCAAGUUAGAGGUGAAAGCCCGGGGCUCAACCCCGGAACUGCCUUUAAGACUGCAUCGCUUGAAUCCGGGAGAGGUGAGUGGAAUUCCGAGUGUAGAGGUGAAAUUCGUAGAUAUUCGGAAGAACACCAGUGGCGAAGGCGGCUCACUGGACCGGUAUUGACGCUGAGGUGCGAAAGCGUGGGGAGCAAACAGG
RNAcentral lists this ribosomal RNA (253 nucleotides) under uncultured bacterium. Its description in RNAcentral is "partial 16S ribosomal RNA". It matches the Rfam family "Bacterial small subunit ribosomal RNA", at positions 524 to 776 of the family's 1533-position model. The record is from RNAcentral.